This 292-nucleotide ribosomal RNA is filed under the name uncultured bacterium. RNAcentral describes it as "partial 16S ribosomal RNA". It matches the Rfam family "Bacterial small subunit ribosomal RNA", at positions 505 to 796 of the family's 1533-position model. The record is from RNAcentral.
GUGUCAGCAGCCGCGGUAAUACGUAGGGGGCAAGCGUUGUCCGGAUUUAUUGGGCGUAAAGCGCGUGUAGGCGGCCAGGCAGGUCCGUUGUGAAAACUGGAGGCUCAACUUCCAGACGUCGAUGGAAACCGCCCGGCUAGAGUCCGGAAGAGGAGAGUGGAAUUCCUGGUGUAGCGGUGAAAUGCGCAGAUAUCAGGAAGAACACCAAUGGCGAAGGCAGCUCUCUGGGACGGUACUGACGCUGAGACGCGAAAGCGUGGGGAGCGAACAGGAUUAGAUACCCUGGUAGUCC